GGAUAAAAAAUCGGGCCUGCCCAAUGUGAAUGGCCGCAGUAUAUUGACUGUGCUAAGGUAGCAAAAUCAUUAGUCUUUUGAUUGAAGACUGGAAUGAAGGGUUUAACAAAGGAGGAGCUUUCUUUAAAUAUUGAAUUUUUUGUUUAAUGUGAGAAAACAUAAGGGAAGAGAAGACCCUAUCAAGUUUUACUGUUUUACUGGGGCGGUGUUGAUGAUAGUUAGAUUAAAUUACUGUAGGGAUAACAGCGUGAAAUACUUGGAGAGUUCUUAUUGGUGAGUAGUUUUGCGACCUCGAUGUUGAAUUAAACCUUAUUGGUGUAAGACUUUUAAAUCUUUACA
RNAcentral lists this ribosomal RNA (339 nucleotides) under Charinus seychellarum. Its description in RNAcentral is "partial large subunit ribosomal RNA". It matches the Rfam family "Bacterial large subunit ribosomal RNA", at positions 1843 to 2600 of the family's 2925-position model. The record is from RNAcentral. Lineage: Eukaryota; Metazoa; Arthropoda; Arachnida; Amblypygi; Charinidae.